Long non-coding RNA from Melitaea cinxia (Glanville fritillary), 725 nucleotides. RefSeq lists it as uncharacterized. The record is from RefSeq and is a predicted model, not a curated record. The transcript is spliced from 2 exons. Lineage: Eukaryota; Metazoa; Arthropoda; Insecta; Lepidoptera; Nymphalidae.
GCUUCAGCAACAGCUCACGUAGUGCACAAUUAUGUGUCUCUAGAUCUGACGGACAGACAAGCUCUAUUCCACGACGCCUUCAGCGUUCAGUGGAACUUUCAACUAGCGUGGGUAUUCCCACCACCAUUUCUUGUCCCGAAAGUACUGACUCACCUCAAUCAGUCCACAGGAGUAUUUCUUGUCGUCGUGCCUCGAUGGGAGAAAGUGUUUUGGCGUCCAGACCUCAAAGCGCGAGCCCUAGCAGCUCCAUUAACACUGAGAAAUCUGAACAAAAGUCUAAUCGACACCUCGACAGGACUUCCACCUCCCAAAGUCGAAACCAUCAUCCUCGAGGUGUGGAAAUGUGGGGGUGGUCUGAGGCGUUAAAGGUUUAGCAAAAUCUGCUUCACGCACAGUAAUAGCAAGCUGGAUUAAAACCUUACUUAAGGAAGCCGACAUUAUUGCUACACCUGGAAGUGUUCGAUCUGCGGUCGCUUCUAAAAGUUGGCUAGAAAAUCGUUCUAUAGAGGAAAUUCUGGCUCGUGGAAACUGGAGGUCGGGUAAUACAUUUAGAAAAUUCUACAGGCGUGAAGUAAUUAAUAACAACACGUCUAAUGGUGUUACAAACUUAUUCAUACCAAUAAGUGAUUAAGUAAUAAUUACAGUAUGUUAUAUGUUACCACAAUAUGAUUAAAGUAUUAUAUAAACUGAUUUUUUAAUAACAAUAAAUUAAUCAUUAUACUAAA